CGGAGGGGCUAGCGCUGUUCGGAAUUACUGGGCGUAAAGCGCGCGUAGGCGGCUUUGUAAGUUAGAGGUGAAAGCCCGGGGCGUCAACUCCGGAAUUGUCCUUUAAGACUGCAUCGCUUGAAUCAUGGAGAGGUGAGUGGAAUUCCGAGUGUAGAGGUGAAAUUCGUAGAUAUUCGGAAGAACACCAGUGGCGAAGGCGACUCACUGGACAUGUAUUGACGCUGAGGUGCGAAAGCGUGGGGGGAGCAAACAGGAUU
Molecule: ribosomal RNA, 257 nt
Filed under: uncultured bacterium
Lineage: Bacteria
Description: partial 16S ribosomal RNA
Rfam family: Bacterial small subunit ribosomal RNA
Source: RNAcentral